Molecule: ribosomal RNA, 426 nt
Filed under: uncultured bacterium
Lineage: Bacteria
Description: bacterial SSU rRNA
Rfam family: Bacterial small subunit ribosomal RNA
Source: RNAcentral
CGAGAAUAAUUCACAAUGGACGAAAGUCUGAUGGUGCAACGCCGCGUGGAGGAUGAAGGCCCUAGGGUCGUAAACUCCUGUCAUUUGAGAGUAAGACCUGGCGGUUAAUAGCCGACAGGGUUGAUAGUAUCAAAAGAGGAAGGGACGGCUAACUUCGUGCCAGCAGCCGCGGUAAUACGAAGGUCCCGAGCGUUGUUCGGAAUCACUGGGCGUAAAGGGAGCGUAGGCGGUUUGGUAAGUCAGAUGUGAAAUCUUGGGGCUCAACCCUGAAACUGCAUCCGAUACUGCCAAACUUGAGUAAUGGAGGGGUAACUGGAAUUCUCGGUGUAGCAGUGAAAUGCGUGGAUAUCGAGAGGAACACUCGUGGCGAAGGCGAGUUACUGGACAUUUACUGACGCUGAGGCUCGAAGGCCAGGGUAGCGAAAG